This 496-nucleotide ribosomal RNA is filed under the name uncultured bacterium. RNAcentral's name for it is "partial 16S ribosomal RNA". It matches the Rfam family "Bacterial small subunit ribosomal RNA", at positions 28 to 506 of the family's 1533-position model. The record is from RNAcentral.
GACGAACGCUGGCGGCGUGCCUAAUACAUGCAAGUAGAACGCUGAAGAGAGGAGCUUGCUCUUCUUGGAUGAGUUGCGAACGGGUGAGUAACGCGUAGGUAACCUGCCUGGUAGCGGGGGAUAACUAUUGGAAACGAUAGCUAAUACCGCAUAAAAUUGAUUAUUGCAUGAUAAUUAAUUGAAAGAUGCAACUGCAUCACUACCAGAUGGACCUGCGUUGUAUUAGCUAGUUGGUGAGGUAACGGCUCACCAAGGCGACGAUACAUAGCCGACCUGAGAGGAUGAUCGGCCACACUGGGACUGAGACACGGCCCAGACUCCUACGGGAGGCAGCAGUAGGGAAUAUUCGGCAAUGGGGGGAAGCCUGACCGAGCAACGCCGCGUGGGUGAAGAAGGUGUUCGGAUCGUAAAGCUCUGUUGUAAGGGAAGAACGGGUGUGAGAGUGGAAAGUUCAGACUGUGACGGUAUCUUACCAGAAAGGGACGGCUAACUACGU